Molecule: ribosomal RNA, 311 nt
Filed under: uncultured bacterium
Lineage: Bacteria
Description: bacterial SSU rRNA
Rfam family: Bacterial small subunit ribosomal RNA
Source: RNAcentral
GACGAACGCUGGCGGCGCGCCUAACACAUGCAAGUCGAACGAGCGAGAGAGAGCUUGCUUUCUCAAGCGAGUGGCGAACGGGUGAGUAACGCGUGAGGAACCUGCCUCAAAGAGGGGGACAACAGUUGGAAACGACUGCUAAUACCGCAUAAGCCCACAGGUCGGCAUCGACCAGAGGGAAAAGGAGCAAUCCGCUUUGAGAUGGACCCGCGUCUGAUUAGCUAGUUGGUGGGGUAAUGGCCCACCAAGGCGACGAUCAGUAGCCGGCCUGAGAGGGUGAACGGCCACAUUGGGACUGAGACACGGCCCAA